GGGCCCGCACAAGCGGUGGAGUAUGUGGUUUAAUUCGAUGCAACGCGAAGAACCUUACCAGGGUUUGACAUCCUGCGAAUCUCUUGGAAACAGGAGAGUGCCUUCGGGAACGCAGUGACAGGUGGUGCAUGGCUGUCGUCAGCUCGUGUCGUGAGAUGUUGGGUUAAGUCCCGCAACGAGCGCAACCCACGUCUUUAGUUGCCAGCAUUUAGUUGGGCACUCUAGAGAGACUGCCGGUGAUAAGCGGGAGGAAGGUGUGGAUGACGUCAAGUCCUCAUGGCCCUUACGGGUUGGGCUACACACGUGCUACAAUGGUAGUGACAAUGGGUUAAUCCCAAAAAUGCUAUCU
This 349-nucleotide ribosomal RNA is filed under the name uncultured bacterium. Its description in RNAcentral is "bacterial SSU rRNA". It matches the Rfam family "Bacterial small subunit ribosomal RNA", at positions 917 to 1288 of the family's 1533-position model. The record is from RNAcentral.